GACGAACGCUGGCGGCGUGCUUAACACAUGCAAGUCGAACGAAGAGCGAUGGAAGCUUGCUUCUAUCAAUCUUAGUGGCGCACGGGUGAGUAACGCGUAAUCAACCUGCCCUUCAGAGGGGGACAACAGUUGGAAACGACUGCUAAUACCGCAUACGAUCUAAUCUCGGCAUCGAGGAUAGAUGAAAGGUGGCCUCUACAUGUAAGCUAUCACUGAAGGCGGGGAUUGCGUCUGAUUAGCUAGUUGGAGGGGUAACGGCCCACCAAGGCGAUGAUCAGUAGCCGGUCUGAGAGGAGGAACGGCCACAUUGGGACUGAGACACGGCCCAGACUCCUACGGGAGGCAGCAGGGGGGAAUCUUCCGCAAUGGACGAAAGGCUGACGGAGCAACGCCGCGUGAGGGAUGACGGCCUUCGGGUUGUAAAGCUCUGUUAAUCGGGACGAAAGGCCUUCUUGCGAAUAGUGAGAAGGAUUGACGGUACCGGAAUAGAAAGCCACGGCUAACUACGUG
This 510-nucleotide ribosomal RNA is filed under the name uncultured bacterium. RNAcentral's name for it is "partial 16S ribosomal RNA". It matches the Rfam family "Bacterial small subunit ribosomal RNA", at positions 28 to 507 of the family's 1533-position model. The record is from RNAcentral.